GAAUUUUGGACAAUGGGGGCAACCCUGAUCCAGCAAUGCCGCGUGAGUGAAGAAGGCCUUCGGGUUGUAAAGCUCUUUUGUUAGGGAAGAAACGGCGGGAGCUAAUACCUUCUGCUAAUGACGGUACCUGAAGAAUAAGCACCGGCUAACUACGUGCCAGCAGCCGCGGUAAUACGUAGGGUGCAAGCGUUAAUCGGAAUUACUGGGCGUAAAGCGUGCGCAGGCGGCUUUGCAAGACAGGUGUGAAAUCCCCGGGCCUAACCUGGGAACUGCAUUUGUGACUGCAUGGCUAGAGUUUGUCAGAGGGGGGUGGAAUUCCACGUGUAGCAGUGAAAUGCGUAGAGAUGUGGAAGAACACCGAUGGCGAAGGCAGCCCCCUGGGAUGUGACUGACGCUCAUGUACGAAAGCGUGGGGAGCAAAC
RNAcentral lists this ribosomal RNA (422 nucleotides) under uncultured bacterium. RNAcentral's name for it is "bacterial SSU rRNA". It matches the Rfam family "Bacterial small subunit ribosomal RNA", at positions 359 to 773 of the family's 1533-position model. The record is from RNAcentral.